RNAcentral lists this ribosomal RNA (247 nucleotides) under uncultured bacterium. Its description in RNAcentral is "partial 16S ribosomal RNA". It matches the Rfam family "Bacterial small subunit ribosomal RNA", at positions 523 to 769 of the family's 1533-position model. The record is from RNAcentral.
AUACGGGGGGUGCAAGCGUUGUUCGGAAUUAUUGGGCGUAAAGCGCGUGUAGGCGGUUUGAUUAGUCUGAUGUGAAAGCCCUGGGCUCAACCCAGGAAGUGCAUUGGAAACUGUCAGGCUUGAAUACGGGAGAGAGUAGUGGAAUUCCUAGUGUAGGAGUGAAAUCCGUAGAUAUUAGGAGGAACACCGGUGGCGAAGGCGGCUACCUGGACCGAUAUUGACGCUGAGACGCGAAAGCGUGGGUAGC